AAGUUAAAAUCAGGAUCAAACGACGAUUUUUUAAAAAAACAACAACAGUAAUAUUUUGCAAAGUGUGCCCGCGCAGAAUUCUGGGUUACGGUACAUGCGCAGUGAUGCGUAGCAACGUGCGCACGCAGACGGAUACGCUAGCUAGCGACGUGACCGCAACUGAGAAAUUUUAAACACAAAAGCGGGUUUAAGAAGCGAAAAUUGAAAGAAGCAGCCGAACAACAAACACAUGAGCUUUCCGAAAAUAUUCACUUUCUUUAAAAACAAAGCAGCGAGCACGAAGAGCCGAAGGGAACACCUGCCGUUAGCAUCCGCUGCUAGCACAGGUGAACUAACAGUUAGCGUCCGCCGCCAGCACAGGUGAACUAACAGUUAGCGUCCGCCGCCAGCACAGGUGAACUAACAGUUAGCGUCCGCCGCCAGCACAGGUGAACUAACAGUUAGCGUCCGCCAACACCUGGAGAUCCAGUGGGACUCAGGAGUGAAGUCAACACAAGAACUCACCGAGAUGUUGACUGUGGACAACGUCUACAUCGCUGCAAGCUUUCCAGUGACUGUGGCUUCUGUGGCAGAACGACCUUUAUCCGAACUACAACUCACCUGAGGAGCUCAGUGGGAACCGUUCACCUGGACCCGCCACACCCAUAAUAUGUGACCUGAUCUGUCUCUUGGGGUGUAGCUGUGCCGGGGAACUCGCAGUACAGUUCGCAGCUUGUCACAGAAAAGGUCACAGAGGCUGUCGGCAUGCGAAUCGCUUAUUUUAUUUGGAGGCGUCAUCUGGAUACAGACACGCUGCUCUGACGACCCCUCCGUCCUUGUUACCUCAGACAAAUUUAUAACUGCCAGCUGUUGGGGAAGGAUGAGGAGGAGGAAGGGAAGUAAUGGAGGAGGGGAGCAG
Long non-coding RNA from Micropterus salmoides (largemouth bass), 898 nucleotides. RefSeq lists it as uncharacterized. NCBI's taxonomy places the organism in Eukaryota, Metazoa, Chordata, Actinopteri, Centrarchiformes, Centrarchidae. The transcript has 3 exons. The record is from RefSeq and is a predicted model, not a curated record.